GUGCGUCGCAGCCCCGGACCAAGGCGCCCGCCGGAGGACCAACCAAAACUCUUAUUGUAUACCCCCUCGCGGGUUUUUUUAUAAUCUGAGCCUUCUCGGCGCCUCUCGUAGGCGUUUCGAAAAUGAAUCAAAACUUUCAACAACGGAUCUCUUGGUUCUGGCAUCGAUGAAGAACGCAGCGAAAUGCGAUAAGUAAUGUGAAUUGCAGAAUUCAGUGAAUCAUCGAAUCUUUGAACGCACAUUGCGCCCGCCAGUAUUCUGGCGGGCAUGCCUGUCCGAGCGUCAUUUCAACCCUCGAACCCCUCCGGGGGGUCGGCGUUGGGGAUCGGCCCUGCCUUGGCGGUGGCCGUCUCCCGAAAUACAGUGGCGGUCUCGCCCGCAGCCUCUCCUGCGCAGUAGUUUUGCACACUCGCAUCGGGGAGCGCGGGCCGCGUCCACAGCCGUUAAACACCAAAUUUCUGAAAUGUGACCUCGGAUCAGGUAGGAUACCCGG
RNAcentral lists this ribosomal RNA (493 nucleotides) under Trichoderma harzianum. RNAcentral describes it as "eukaryotic LSU rRNA". The stretch from base 132 to 285 matches the Rfam family "5.8S ribosomal RNA". The record is from RNAcentral. Lineage: Eukaryota; Fungi; Ascomycota; Sordariomycetes; Hypocreales; Hypocreaceae.